Molecule: non-coding RNA, 66 nt
Filed under: Aeromonas bestiarum
Lineage: Bacteria; Pseudomonadati; Pseudomonadota; Gammaproteobacteria; Aeromonadales; Aeromonadaceae
Source: RNAcentral
AAGCGAAACGGGGGGGCAGCCCCCGUCUGCCCAGCGUGGUGGCUGGGCACUGAUGAGCAGCCAUUC